RNAcentral lists this transfer RNA (93 nucleotides) under Streptomyces longispororuber. Its description in RNAcentral is "tRNA-Glu". The record is from RNAcentral. Lineage: Bacteria; Bacillati; Actinomycetota; Actinomycetes; Kitasatosporales; Streptomycetaceae.
CCCGGCGGCGGACGGGGGCGGCGCCGCGGCUUUCGCCUCCUGUGCGACCUGGGGAGGCUCGGGGGACUCGGGCUCCGGGCCCGGCGUCGAGUC